UACGUAGGGUGCGAGCGUUAAUCGGAAUUACUGGGCGUAAAGCGUGCGCAGGCGGCUUUGCAAGACAGAUGUGAAAUCCCCGGGCUCAACCUGGGAACUGCAUUUGUGACUGCAGGGCUGGAGUGCGGCAGAGGGGGAUGGAAUUCCGCGUGUAGCAGUGAAAUGCGUAGAUAUGUGGAGGAACACCGAUGGCGAAGGCAGCCCCCUGGGUCGACACUGACGCUCAUGCACAAAAGCGUGGGGAGCAAACAGG
This 253-nucleotide ribosomal RNA is filed under the name uncultured bacterium. Its description in RNAcentral is "partial 16S ribosomal RNA". It matches the Rfam family "Bacterial small subunit ribosomal RNA", at positions 524 to 776 of the family's 1533-position model. The record is from RNAcentral.